Molecule: ribosomal RNA, 404 nt
Filed under: Verrucomicrobiota bacterium
Lineage: Bacteria; Pseudomonadati; Verrucomicrobiota
Description: Verrucomicrobia bacterium partial 16S ribosomal RNA
Rfam family: Bacterial small subunit ribosomal RNA
Source: RNAcentral
UGGGGAAUAUUGCGCAAUGGGGGCAACCCUGACGCAGCAACGCCGCGUGCGGGACGACGGCCUUCGGGUUGUAAACCGCUUUCAGCAGGGAAGAUAAUGACGGUAACCGGAGAAGAAGCCCCGGCUAACUUCGUGCCAGCAGCCGCGGUAAUACGAAGGGGGCUAGCGUUGUUCGGAUUUACUGGGCGUAAAGCGCACGUAGGCGGACUUUUAAGUCAGGGGUGAAAUCCCGGGGCUCAACCCCGGAACUGCCUUUGAUACUGGAAGUCUUGAGUAUGGUAGAGGUGAGUGGAAUUCCGAGUGUAGAGGUGAAAUUCGUAGAUAUUCGGAGGAACACCAGUGGCGAAGGCGGCUCACUGGACCAUUACUGACGCUGAGGUGCGAAAGCGUGGGGAGCAAACAGG